CACGCAUGACACACUGCAUAUCAAUAAGCGGAGGAAAAGAAACUAACAAGGAUUCCCCUAGUAACGGCGAGUGAAGCGGGAAGAGCUCAAAUUUGAAAUCUUCAAGGUUUGACCUUGACGAAUUGUAGUUUAAAGAAGUGUUUUCGGUUAGAGGAGUAGUAAAAGUUCUUUGGAAUAGGACAUCAUAGAGGGUGAGAAUCCCGUAUUUGACUAUUCUUUCUAGCUUUGUGAUACACUUUCAAAGAGUCGGAUUGUUUGGGAAUGCAGUCCAAAAUGGGUGGUAAAUUUCAUCUAAAGCUAAAUAUUGGCGAGAGACCGAUAGCGAACAAGUACCGUGAGGGAAAGAUGAAAAGAACUUUGAAAAGAGAGUUAAACAGUACGUGAAAUUGUCAAAAGGGAAGCGUUUGACACCAGUGUUGUUUUUCCGAAAAUCAAUUACGAAUGUUUUGUUUUUGAGGAGUUAUGACUUCAUCGGCUUGCUUCUUUCUUUACGAAACUUUCUUAAUGCACUUUUCGGUUAACAAGUCAACAUCAAUUUCUUUUGUUGUAAAAGGGUAUGAGGAAGGUGGCUUUCUUUUCGGAGAAAGUGUUUAUAGCCUUGUACCUCUGCAAUCGGAGAGAUUGAGGUCUGCAGCGUAGAUCCUUCGGGGUUAGAUACAUUUGUGCUAAGUUAUAGUCUUUCAUAGACAACUUGUUGACUAUGUUUAGUCAUUGUAGCUUACUCGCUUAAGUGUUAUUUUACCUACGCUUAGGAUGUUGAGCGCAUGUCUCUCUCU
Molecule: ribosomal RNA, 776 nt
Filed under: uncultured Neocallimastigales
Lineage: Eukaryota; Fungi; Neocallimastigomycota; Neocallimastigomycetes; Neocallimastigales
Description: partial large subunit ribosomal RNA
Rfam family: Eukaryotic large subunit ribosomal RNA
Source: RNAcentral